CGGCGUGCGUAACACAUGCAAGUCGAUCGAGAAAUUCCGGGCUUGCUCGGGAGAGUAAAGUGGCGAACGGGUGAGUAACGCGUGGGUAACCUGCCCCUGAAUCUGGAAUAACUUCGCGAAAGCGAGGCUAAUUCCGGAUAUUGUCCCAGGGACUGUGGUCCUUGUGAUGAAAGAUGACCUCUUCACGAAAGUUGUCGUUCAGGGAGGGGCCCGCGUACCAUUAGCUAGUUGGUAGGGUAAUGGCCUACCAAGGCGAUGAUGGUUAGCUGGUCUGAGAGGAUGACCAGCCACACUGGCACUGAAACACGGGCCAGACUCCUACGGGAGGCAGCAGUGAGGAAUUUUGCGCAAUAGGGGAAACCCUGACGCAGCAA
RNAcentral lists this ribosomal RNA (374 nucleotides) under uncultured bacterium. RNAcentral describes it as "bacterial SSU rRNA". It matches the Rfam family "Bacterial small subunit ribosomal RNA", at positions 40 to 394 of the family's 1533-position model. The record is from RNAcentral.